RNAcentral lists this ribosomal RNA (492 nucleotides) under uncultured bacterium. Its description in RNAcentral is "partial 16S ribosomal RNA". It matches the Rfam family "Bacterial small subunit ribosomal RNA", at positions 29 to 507 of the family's 1533-position model. The record is from RNAcentral.
AGUGAACGCUGGCGGUAGGCCUAACACAUGCAAGUCGAACGGCAGCACAGUAAGAGCUUGCUCUUACGGGUGGCGAGUGGCGGACGGGUGGGGAAUACAUCGGAAUCUACUUUUUCGUGGGGGAUAACGUAGGGAAACUUACGCUAAUACCGCAUACGACCUACGGGUGAAAGCAGGGGAUCUUCGGACCUUGCGCGAUUGAAUGAGCCGAUGUCGGAUUAGCUAGUUGGCGGGGUAAAGGCCCACCAAGGCGACGAUCCGUAGCUGGUCUGAGAGGAUGAUCAGCCACACUGGAACUGAGACACGGUCCAGACUCCUACGGGAGGCAGCAGUGGGGAAUAUUGGACAAUGGGCGCAAGCCUGAUCCAGCCAUACCGCGUGGGUGAAGAAGGCCUUCGGGUUGUAAAGCCCUUUUGUUGGGAAAGAAAAGCAGCAGGUUUAUACCCCGCUGUUCUGACGGUACCCAAAGAAUAAGCACCGGCUAACUUCAUG